GAUUCUUUCUGUUUUAUCGUGUUCUUUGCUUCUUGGUUUUAAUUAGAAGGGUUUCAAGAUCCAAAACUUGAAGGCCUAGAAGUGAAAAUGUGGUAAGCAUAUAUAUAAGAUUUUUCUUCAAUUAUGAUCUUUCAUUUUGUAUGAACUGUUUUUUUUUUUUUUUGUGUUAUAUCAUUUUAUUUUUAUGAAGUAUAUAGAUAAUAAUAAUCUGAAAUACAUGCAGCCACAAAGAAAGUAUAUGAUGAAGUUGACUCUUUCUUCAUCUUCUUUCGUUGUAAUGUUAACUCUCACUCUUUAUUUGGAUGUAUGUUUUUUUGGAUGAUUUUGUAUUAUCAUGUUCAUGUGAUAUUUCAUUUUCAUGAGAUACAGUCAUACAAGUGGAUAGGCAGUACUUAAGAUUACGACUUCUCAUAUUUUAUCACUAUAUGAAUCUAUGAAAUAUAAUAGGCAUGCAUUAUAUUGAAAUUUUUAUUCUUGUAUACUCUUCUGAUGUAUUUUGAAAAGCAACACCUUGCUUAAUGCUCAUUAACUUGUGAACAUAUGAACUAACAAAUCUAAUAAAAAUGCUAAUUAAAAAGUGACAAUUGUUAUAUUAAUUUAGAGUUUAAAGUUAGUGCACCGUCGACACUAGAAUAAUAAAUUUUACUGUCGAUAAUCAUAACUAUUCAAUUCGUCUCAUAAUAUUAAAUUAUUUUUAAUCAAAGGUAGAUAUUUAAUACUUUGUGGACUUGGUGUGAUGUUAUUGAUUGUUAGUGUAAUAUCGCAUUAUAUAAAAAUAAAUAUAUUGCAUGUAGUUACUCACUCUCAUAAUGAGUGUGACUUUAAGCUCUCAAAAUGAAUAUUGCAAUUUUAAUUAUUUUUUUCUAAUUCAUCAAUAGUUAAGAUUGAUAGGUUGAUAAUUUUUUUUUCUUUAUAAUUAUUGUAUUUCUUAAUUUAUGUAUAAAAAUCUUAAACGGUGUUGAUGACGAUUAUUCUCACAAAGACACGUAAAGUAAUAUUUAAAUAAAGUAAACAUAUUUUAUAAAUUAAAUAUAUAUAAAAAUAUAAGCAACUACUCACUCUCAAUUGUUGUCUUGUAUUUUGUCACACGCAAAAGAGUUUGAUUGGGAAAAUUGGAGGCUAGGAGUAGGAGGAUCGAUAAGGUGGGGUCCAUUUAAUGUUUUUGGAGCUAAGUUGGAGGGUUUGAUGGGAGAAAGUAUAUAUAAGAGGAAAAUCCACAUA
Molecule: long non-coding RNA, 1221 nt
Filed under: Cicer arietinum (chickpea)
Lineage: Eukaryota; Viridiplantae; Streptophyta; Magnoliopsida; Fabales; Fabaceae
Description: long non-coding RNA (CARI_LNC001040)
Source: RNAcentral